This 450-nucleotide ribosomal RNA is filed under the name uncultured Glomus. RNAcentral describes it as "SSU rRNA". It matches the Rfam family "Eukaryotic small subunit ribosomal RNA", at positions 569 to 1022 of the family's 1831-position model. The record is from RNAcentral. Lineage: Eukaryota; Fungi; Glomeromycota; Glomeromycetes; Glomerales; Glomeraceae.
AGCAGCCGCGGUAAUUCCAGCUCCAAUAGCGUAUAUUAAAGUUGUUGCAGUUAAAAAGCUCGUAGUUGAAUUUCGGGAUCAAUACGUCGGUCGUGCUUUCGGGUACGUACUGGCGUCAUUGGUUUCUCCUUUCUGACGAACCAUGAUGUCAUUAAUUUGGUGUUAUGGGGAGUUAGGACUGUUACUUUGAGAAAAUUAGAGUGUUUAAAGCAGGCAUUAGCUUGAAUACAUUAGCAUGGAAUAAUGAAAUAGGACGUUCGAUCCUAUUUUGUUGGUUUCUAGGAUCAACGUAAUGAUUAAUAGGGAUAGUUGGGGGCAUUAGUAUUCAAUUGUCAGAGGUGAAAUUCUUGGAUUUAUUGAAGACUAACUACUGCGAAAGCAUUUGCCAAGGAUGUUUUCAUUAAUCAAGAACGAAAGUUAGGGGAUCGAAGACGAUCAGAUACCGUCGUA